This 1210-nucleotide ribosomal RNA is filed under the name metagenome. RNAcentral's name for it is "SSU rRNA". It matches the Rfam family "Eukaryotic small subunit ribosomal RNA", at positions 561 to 1786 of the family's 1831-position model. The record is from RNAcentral.
CUGGUGCCAGCAGCCGCGGUAAUUCCAGCUCCAAUAGCGUAUAUUAAAGUUGUUGCAGUUAAAAAGCUCGUAGUUGGAUCUGGGGUUCGGGUCGGCGGUUUGCCGCUUCGGCGGCUACUGCCGUGCUCGACUCUUACUAGCCGGUGCGUCUUGCGGUGCUCUUCAUCGAGUGCCGUAGGAGCCUGGCAUGUUUACUUUGAAAAAAUUAGAGUGCUCAAAGCAGGCGAUUCCGCCUGAAUAGUGUUGCAUGGAAUAAUGGAAUAGGACCUCGGUUCUAUUUUGUUGGUUUUCGGAACUUGAGGUAAUGAUUAAGAGGGACGGUCGGGGGCAUUCGUAUUUCGGUGUUAGAGGUGAAAUUCUUGGAUCGCUGAAAGACGGACAAAUGCGAAAGCAUCUGCCAAGAACGUCUCCAUUAAUCAAGAACGAAAGUCAGAGGUUCGAAGACGAUCAGACACCGUCCUAGUUCUGACCAUAAACGAUGCCAACUAGCGAUCCGCAGUGGUUGCUAUAAACGGACUCUGCGAGCAGCUUCCGGGAAACCAAAGUGUUUGGGUUCCGGGGGAAGUAUGGUUGCAAAGCUGAAACUUAAAGGAAUUGACGGAAGGGCACCACCAGGAGUGGAGCCUGCGGCUUAAUUUGACCCAACACGGGGAAACUCACCCGGUCCGGACACUGUAAGGAUUGACAGAUCGAGAGCUCUUUCUUGAUUCGGUGGAUGGUGGUGCAUGGCCGUUCUUAGUUGGUGGAGUGAUUUGUCUGGUUAAUUCCGAUAACGAACGAGACUCUAGCCUGCUAACUAGUUGCGCCGUGUUCAUACGCGGCUGUAGACUUCUUAGAGGGACAGGUGGCGUUUAGCCACACGAAAUUGAGCAAUAACAGGUCUGUGAUGCCCUUAGAUGUCCGGGGCCGCACGCGCGCUACACUGAAGGAGUCAGCGUGUGCUAUCCGGGCUCGGAAGAGUUCGGUAACCCGUUGAAACUCCUUCGUGCUUGGGAUUGUGGCUUGUAAUUAUCGCGCAUGAACGAGGAAUUCCCAGUAAGUGCAAGUCAUCAGCUUGCGCUGACUACGUCCCUGCCCUUUGUACACACCGCCCGUCGCUACUACCGAUUGAAUGGUUUAGCAAGGUACUCGGAUUGGUCUCGAUCUUGUACGAAAGUGCGGGAUCUGUGGCCGAGAAGAAGGCCAAACUUGAUCAUUUAGAGGAAGUAAA